GGGUGCGUAACUCAGUUGGAUAGAGUAGCUGCCUUCUAAGCAGUUUGUCACAGGUUCGAGUCCUGUCGCACCCG
Molecule: transfer RNA, 74 nt
Filed under: Cyanobacteria bacterium J055
Lineage: Bacteria; Bacillati; Cyanobacteriota
Also listed under: 4 other names
Description: tRNA-Arg
Rfam family: tRNA
About the family: Transfer RNA (tRNA) molecules are approximately 80 nucleotides in length.
Source: RNAcentral